AACGAACGCUGGCGGCAGGCUUAACACAUGCAAGUCGAGCGCCCCGCAAGGGGAGCGGCAGACGGGUGAGUAACGCGUGGGAACAUACCCUUUGGUUCGGAAUAACUCAGGGAAACUUGAGCUAAUACCGGAUACGUCCGUAAGGAGAAAGAUUUAUCGCCAAAGGAUUGGCCCGCGUCCGAUUAGCUAGUUGGUGAGGUAACGGCUCACCAAGGCUACGAUCGGUAGCUGGUCUGAGAGGAUGAUCAGCCACAUUGGGACUGAGACACGGCCCAAACUCCUACGGGAGGCAGCAGUGGGGAAUAUUGGACAAUGGGCGGCAAGCCUGAUCCAGCCAUGCGCGUGAGUGAUGAAGGCUUA
RNAcentral lists this ribosomal RNA (360 nucleotides) under uncultured bacterium. Its description in RNAcentral is "bacterial SSU rRNA". It matches the Rfam family "Bacterial small subunit ribosomal RNA", at positions 29 to 418 of the family's 1533-position model. The record is from RNAcentral.